UCACAGGUUUGAAACACUGGGUGGCGAGUGGCGAACGGGUGAGUAAAAUAUCGGAACGUAUCCUGUAGAGGGGGAUAGCCCGGCGAAAGCCGGAUUAAUACCGCAUAUGCUCAAAAGAGGAAGGCGGGGGACCGGAUGGGUGACCAUUGGGCCUCGCGCUAGAGGGGCGGCCGAUGUCGGAUUAUGCUAGUUGGUGGGGUAAGGGCCUACCAAGGCGGUGAUCCGUAGCGGGUCUGAGAGGAUGAUCCGCCACACUGGGACUGAGACACGGCCCAGACUCCUACGGGAGGCAGCAGUGGGGAAUUUUGGACAAUGGGGGCAACCCUGAUCCAGCAA
Molecule: ribosomal RNA, 336 nt
Filed under: Candidatus Glomeribacter gigasporarum
Lineage: Bacteria; Pseudomonadati; Pseudomonadota; Betaproteobacteria; Burkholderiales; Burkholderiaceae
Description: bacterial SSU rRNA
Rfam family: Bacterial small subunit ribosomal RNA
Source: RNAcentral